Molecule: ribosomal RNA, 469 nt
Filed under: uncultured bacterium
Lineage: Bacteria
Description: partial 16S ribosomal RNA
Rfam family: Bacterial small subunit ribosomal RNA
Source: RNAcentral
UAGGGAAUCUUCCACAAUGGACGCAAGUCUGAUGGAGCAACGCCGCGUGAGUGAAGAAGGUCUUCGGNUCGUAAAGCUCUGUUGUUGGUGAAGAAGGAUAGAGGCAGUAACUGGUCUUUAUUUGACGGUAAUCAACCAGAAAGUCACGGCUAACUACGUGCCAGCAGCCGCGGUAAUACGUAGGUGGCAAGCGUUGUCCGGAUUUAUUGGGCGUAAAGCGAGCGCAGGCGGAAUGAUAAGUCUGAUGUGAAAGCCCACGGCUCAACCGUGGAACUGCAUCGGAAACUGUCAUUCUUGAGUGCAGAAGAGGAGAGUGGAACUCCAUGUGUAGCGGUGGAAUGCGUAGAUAUAUGGAAGAACACCAGUGGCGAAGGCGGCUCUCUGGUCUGCAACUGACGCUGAGGUUCUCGAAAGCAUGGGUAGCGAACAGGAUUAGAUACCCUGGUAGUCCAUGCCGUAAACGAUGAGC